Molecule: ribosomal RNA, 484 nt
Filed under: uncultured bacterium
Lineage: Bacteria
Description: partial 16S ribosomal RNA
Rfam family: Bacterial small subunit ribosomal RNA
Source: RNAcentral
AUUGAACGCUGGCGGAAUGCUUUACACAUGCAAGUCGAGCGGCAGCGCGGCCUUCGGGCUGGCGGCGAGCGGCGAACGGGUGAGUAAUGCAUCGGAACAUGCCCAGUCGUGGGGGAUAACACUUCGAAAGAAGUGCUAAUACCGCAUACGUCCUGAGGGGGAAAGCGGGGGAUCGCAAGACCUCGCGCGAUUGGAGUGGCCGAUGUCAGAUUAGCUAGUUGGUGGGGUAAAGGCCUACCAAGGCGACGAUCUGUAGCUGGUCUGAGAGGAUGAUCAGCCACACUGGGACUGAGACACGGCCCAGACUCCUACGGGAGGCAGCAGUGGGGAAUUUUGGACAGUGGGGGCAACCCUGAUCCAGCCAUUCCGCGUGAGUGAAGAAGGCCUUCGGGUUGUAAAGCUCUUUCGGCAGGAACGAAACGGUGGGCUCUAACAUAGUCCGCUAAUGACGGUACCUGAAGAAGAAGCACCGGCUAACUACGUG